GACGAACGCUGGCGGCGUGCUUAACACAUGCAAGUCGAACGGAAAGGCCCUGCUUGCCGGGUACUCGAGUGGCGAACGGGUGAGUAACACGUGGGUGAUCUGCCCUGCACUUCGGGAUAAGCCUGGGAAACUGGGUCUAAUACCGGAUAGGAGCCAUUUUUAGUGUGAUGGUUGGAAAGUUUUUUCGGUGUAGGAUGAGCUCGCGGCCUAUCAGCUUGUUGGUGGGGUAAUGGCCUACCAAGGCGGCGACGGGUAGCCGGCCUGAGAGGGUGGACGGCCACAUUGGGACUGAGAUACGGCCCAGACUCCUACGGGAGGCAGCAGUGGGGAAUAUUGCACAAUGGGCGCAAGCCUGAUGCAGCGACGCCGCGUGGGGGAUGACGGCCUUCGGGUUGUAAACUCCUUCCGCUAGGGACGAAGCUUUUUGUGACGGUACCUAGAUAAGAAGCACCGGCUAACUACGUG
Molecule: ribosomal RNA, 465 nt
Filed under: uncultured bacterium
Lineage: Bacteria
Description: partial 16S ribosomal RNA
Rfam family: Bacterial small subunit ribosomal RNA
Source: RNAcentral